GGGACAUUUUAAUGUGUUGUAUUCAAUUAGUCAGGAGCCAAACUCUACCAUGGCGUCUAAAAGACAACAGGGCGACUGUAUGCAGUCGAACAAGAAGAAAAGGAAAGUAAAUAACUGCGAAGAAACAGCAGAACUUUGUCGAGUCGUUAGAGACGAGAACGUGAAGAGGGCGGUGAAGGAGGCUUGGAGCCUUAAGUCUCACUACACCCAUGGUGAUUUGGAAUUGGACUGCGAUCCCUUCCCUCACUGCGUCAUCAAAAACUUCAUCAGUAGUGAGAAUUUCUUGGAGAAUCUGCGGACAGAACUGCUCAUGCUCAACUUUCAGGCAAAGUCCAAUGAUCUCUACAAGUUUAAACAGUCAGAUGACUUGAGAAAGCAAACCAAACCACACAUAGCAGGCAUGAGAUCAGCGCUGUUUAGUCAGUUCCGGCUAUGGCUUGAAGAGGUUUUAGAUGUGAAACUGGAGCCCACUGUGGAUAUUUCUUGUGCCAAAUAUGAAUACACAGAUAUUCUUUUGUGUCAUGAUGAUGAACUGGAGGGGAGGCGUGUUGCCUUCAUUCUUUAUCUUGUCCCUUCGUGGCUGAGCAGUGAUGGAGGUUCCCUCGAUCUUUACACAACAGAUGGGCAUUUCCAACCACAAAGUGUUGUCAAGUCUCUGGUGCCUUCUUGGAAUACACUCGUACUUUUCGAAGUGUCUCCAGUCUCCUUUCACCAAGUCUCCGAGGUGUUGUCACAGGACAAGUGUCGUCUGUCUUUAAGCGGAUGGUUUCACGGACCGUCUCUGCAGCGUCCUCCUCGCCACAUCGAGCCUUUCGUACCACGGAACGAACACUUACCCAGAGACGAGACGUUGCUGCUGGAGUGGAUCAAUCCACUCUACUUGGAUAUUUCCUACCAGGAACAGAUUCAGGAAGAGUUUGAAAAAAGCUCAGAAAUACAGCUGAAAGAUUUUCUCAGGGAGGAGAAAUUCAGCCAAGUGUGUGAAGCCUUACAGUUGGCUCAGAUCCAGUGGGCUCAGAAAGGUCCGGCCAAUAAGAGAUGCUAUGAAUCAGCCCGUCUGGACACUCUACCUGAGUGUGUGAGUGCUUGUUGGGAGCUGCUUCAUUCAGAAGCAUUCUUCCUGCUUCUGUCCAACUUCACGGGCCUCCGUUUGCACUACCUCUUUCCCGCUGAUGAUGACGAUGGUGAUGAUGGUGGUGGAAAUAAAGACAAAGGGAAGAAGGAAAGCUGUGAAAAGGACGACAAAGCAACAGGGUCCUCAAAUGAAACAAGCAUAGAGUCAGAGCCGAGUACACCCACGUGUUGUGGUGAACUGCGACGAUGGUCCCACAGCAGCUACACUUUACUGCACGAUGGAGAGGCAGCACGAGCGGAAUACGCACUCGACCUCAUUUUACCUUUCAGCUGCGCUGCGCAAACGCAAGUUUGAUUACCAAAUCACAUCUGUACCAAUCUACACAUAUUGACACAUUUGAUUAUCAGCAUCUAUGGCUGGCAGUCUGAGUUUGGAGGCUUCAGUUGUUAUGUUGCGAAUGAAGAGGAUGAGGAGCUGCUGACCAUCUAUCCUGAAGAUAAUUCCCUCGCUCUGGUCUACAGAGACAAGGAAACCCUCAAAUUUGUCAAGCAUGUCAACCACAGAAGCACAAGCAAUUCUUCUACUGGCGUAUUCUAUGACUUCUCUUUUGUAUAUUAUGAAUAAAGUUUGACAUACAGUUCUCUUA
Molecule: RNA transcript, 1721 nt
Organism: Hippocampus zosterae (dwarf seahorse)
Lineage: Eukaryota; Metazoa; Chordata; Actinopteri; Syngnathiformes; Syngnathidae
Gene: ogfod1
Gene name: 2-oxoglutarate and iron-dependent oxygenase domain containing 1
Exons: 14
Source: RefSeq, a predicted model, not a curated record